AGACCUGGAGAACAGUAAUGGACAGGUGAGGAGACCUGGAGAACAGUAAUGGACAGGUGAGGACACCUGGAGAACAGUAAUGGACAGGUGAGGAGACCUGGAGAACAGUAAUGGACAGGUGAGGACACCUGGAGAACAGUAAUGGACAGGUGAGGAGACCUGGAGAACAGUAAUGGACAGGUGAGGAGACCUGGAGAACAGUAAUGGACAGGUGAGGACACCUGGAGAACAGUAAUGGACAGGUGAGGAGACCUGGAGAACAGUAAUGGACAGGUGAGGAGACCUGGAGAACAGUAAUGGACAGGUGAGGAGACCUGGAGAACAGUAAUGGACAGGUGAGGACACCUGGAGAACAGUAAUGGACAGGUGAGGACACCUGGAGAACAGUAAUGGACAGGUGAGGACACCUGGAGAACAGUAAUGGACAGGUGAGGAGACCUGGAGAACAGUAAUGGACAGGUGAGGAGAACAGUAAUGGACAGGUGAGGAGAACAGUAAUGGACAGGUGAGGAGAACAGUAAUGGACAGGUGAGGAGACCUGGAGAACAGUAAUGGACAGGUGAGGAGACCUGGAGAACAGUAAUGGACAGGUGAGGACACCUGGAGAACAGUAAUGGACAGGUGAGGACACCUGGAGAACAGUAAUGGACAGGUGAGGAGACCUGGAGAACAGUAAUGGACAGGUGAGGAGACCUGGAGAACAGUAAUGGACAGGUGAGGAGACCUGGAGAACAGUAAUGGACAGGUGAGGACACCUGGAGAACAGUAAUGGACAGGUGAGGAGACCUGGAGAACAGUAAUGGACAGGUGAGGACACCUGGAGAACAGUAAUGGACAGGUGAGGAGACCUGGAGAACAGUAAUGGACAGGUGAGGACACCUGGAGAACAGUAAUGGACAGGUGAGGACACCUGGAG
This is a long non-coding RNA of Oncorhynchus keta (chum salmon), 916 nucleotides long. RefSeq lists it as uncharacterized. The transcript has 4 exons. The record is from RefSeq and is a predicted model, not a curated record. NCBI's taxonomy places the organism in Eukaryota, Metazoa, Chordata, Actinopteri, Salmoniformes, Salmonidae.